RNAcentral lists this ribosomal RNA (253 nucleotides) under uncultured bacterium. Its description in RNAcentral is "partial 16S ribosomal RNA". It matches the Rfam family "Bacterial small subunit ribosomal RNA", at positions 524 to 776 of the family's 1533-position model. The record is from RNAcentral.
UACGUAGGGUGCAAGCGUUGUCCGGAAUUAUUGGGCGUAAAGAGCUCGUAGGCGGUCUGUCGCGUCGGCUGUGAAAACCCGAGGCUCAACCUCGGGCCUGCAGUCGAUACGGGCAAACUAGAGUACUGCAGGGGAGACUGGAAUUCCUGGUGUAGCGGUGAAAUGCGCAGAUAUCAGGAGGAACACCGGUGGCGAAGGCGGGUCUCUGGGCAGUAACUGACGCUGAGGCGCGAAAGCGUGGGGAGCAAACGGG